GAUGAAGAACGCAGCGAAAUGCGAAACGUAAUGUGAAUUGCAGAAUUCAGUGAAUCAUCGAAUCUUUGAACGCAUCUUGCGCUCCUUGGUAUUCCGAGGAGCAUGCCUGUUUGAGUGUCGUGAAUACUCUCAACUUCAACCCUUUUUUCGGAAAGGGAGGAAGGUUGGACUUGGGUGUUUGUUGAAGUGCGAGCUUCGACUCAUCCUAAAUGCAUUAGCGAUCUGCCUCGAUCACACACAAUGUGAUAAUUAAAACUAAAGCAUUGUUUAAUGAUCAAGUCGAGACUGCUUCUAACUGUCGCAAGACAAUAACGUGCAUACAUUUGUGCAUGUCAUUUGACCUCAAAUCAGGUAGGACUACCCGCUGAACUUAAGCAUAUCAAUAAGCGGAGGA
This 394-nucleotide unclassified non-coding RNA is filed under the name soil metagenome. RNAcentral describes it as "partial contains 5.8S ribosomal RNA, internal transcribed spacer 2, and large subunit ribosomal RNA". The stretch from base 1 to 120 matches the Rfam family "5.8S ribosomal RNA", at positions 35 to 154 of the family's 154-position model. The record is from RNAcentral.